UCUCUGCUGUGGAGUGGCACCACGUAGCAGUUUGUACGUCUGCUGUGAACCCCGGAGCUUACCCCGGGUGUGCAUGGGUACGGGCAGACUAGAGUGCAGUAGGGGAGACUGGAAUUCCUGGUGUAGCGGUGGAAUGCGCAAAUAUCAGGAGGAACACCGAUGGCGAAGGCAGGUCUCUGGGCUGUUACUGACGCUGAGGAGCGAAAGCAUGGGGAGCGAACAGGAUUAAAUACCCUGGUAGUCCAUGCCGUAAACGUUGGGCACUAGGUGUGGGGGACAUUCCACGUUUUCCGCGCCGUAUCUAACGCAUUAAGUGCCCCGCCUGGGGAGUACGGCCGCAAGGCUAAAACUCAAAGGAAUUGAGGGGGGCCCGCACAAGCGGCGGAGCAUGUGGUUUAAUUCUAUGCAACGCGAAAAACCUUACCAGGGCUUGACAUAUACCGGAUCGUUCCAAAGAUGGUUCUUCCCCUUUGGGGUCGGUAUACAGGUGGUGCAUGGUUGUCCUCAGCUCGUGUCGUGAAAUGUUGGGUUAAGUCCCGCACGAGCGCAACCUAGAUCGGGUGUAUG
This 567-nucleotide ribosomal RNA is filed under the name uncultured bacterium. RNAcentral's name for it is "bacterial SSU rRNA". It matches the Rfam family "Bacterial small subunit ribosomal RNA", at positions 547 to 1118 of the family's 1533-position model. The record is from RNAcentral.